This 450-nucleotide ribosomal RNA is filed under the name uncultured Roseibacillus sp. RNAcentral describes it as "bacterial SSU rRNA". It matches the Rfam family "Bacterial small subunit ribosomal RNA", at positions 354 to 796 of the family's 1533-position model. Lineage: Bacteria; Pseudomonadati; Verrucomicrobiota; Verrucomicrobiia; Verrucomicrobiales; Verrucomicrobiaceae. The record is from RNAcentral.
GUCGAGAAUCAUUCACAAUGGACGAAAGUCUGAUGGUGCAACGCCGCGUGGAGGAUGAAGGCCCUAGGGUCGUAAACUCCUGUCAUCAGGGAGUAAGCCUUGGUCGUUAAUAGCUUCCAAGGUUGAUAGUACCUGAAGAGGAAGGGACGGCUAACUUCGUGCCAGCAGCCGCGGUAAUACGAAGGUCCCAAGCGUUGUUCGGAAUCACUGGGCGUAAAGAGUAUGUAGGCGGUCUGGAAAGUCAGGUGUGAAAUCCCGGGGCUCAACCCCGGAACUGCACCCGAUACUCCCAGACUAGAGUAAUGGAGGGGUGACUGGAAUUCUCGGUGUAGCAGUGAAAUGCGUAGAUAUCGAGAGGAACACUCGUGGCGAAGGCGAGUCACUGGACAUUUACUGACGCUGAGAUACGAAGGCCAGGGUAGCGAAAGGGAUUAGAUACCCUAGUAGUCC